GAUGAACGCUAGCGGGAGGCUUAACACAUGCAAGUCGAGGGGCAGCAUAGGGUAGCAAUACUCUGAUGGCGACCGGCAAACGGGUGAGUAACGCGUAUGCAACCUACCCUGUACAGGGGGAUAACCCGGAGAAAUUCGGACUAAUAUCCCGUAAUAAUAUCCGGAGGCAUCUUUGGAUAUUUAAAGUUCCGACGGUACGGGAUGGGCACGCGUAACAUUAGCUGGUUGGUAAGGUAACGGCUUACCAAGGCUAUGAUGUUUAGGGGUCCUGAGAGGGUGGUCCCCCGACACUGGUACUGAGACACGGACCAGAAUCCUACGGGAGGCAGCAGUGAGGAAUAUUGGUCAAUGGGCGCAAGCCUGAACCAGCCAUCCCGCGUGCAGGAAGACGGCCCUAUGGGUUGUAAACUGCUUUUCCAGGGAGAGAAACUUACGCACGUGUUGCGUGACUGACGGUACCCUGGGAACUAAGCAUCGGCUAACUCCGUGCCAGCAGCCGCGGUAAUCGACGAGAGGUA
Molecule: ribosomal RNA, 518 nt
Filed under: uncultured bacterium
Lineage: Bacteria
Description: bacterial SSU rRNA
Rfam family: Bacterial small subunit ribosomal RNA
Source: RNAcentral